Molecule: ribosomal RNA, 225 nt
Filed under: uncultured bacterium
Lineage: Bacteria
Description: partial 16S ribosomal RNA
Rfam family: Bacterial small subunit ribosomal RNA
Source: RNAcentral
GAUCAUGGCUCAGGACGAACGCUGGCGACGUGCCUAAUACAUGCAAGUCGAACGCUUCACUUCGGUGAAGAGUGGCGAACGGGUGAGUAAUACAUAAGUAACCUGGCAUCUACAGGGGGAUAACUGAUGGAAACGUCAGCUAAGACCGCAUAGGUGUAGAGAUCGCAUGAACUCUAUAUGAAAAGUGCUACGGGACUGGUAGAUGAUGGACUUAUGGCGCAUUAG